Molecule: ribosomal RNA, 254 nt
Filed under: uncultured bacterium
Lineage: Bacteria
Description: partial 16S ribosomal RNA
Rfam family: Bacterial small subunit ribosomal RNA
Source: RNAcentral
UACGUAGGCAGCAAGCGUUGUUCGGAGUUACUGGGCGUAAAGGGUGCGUAGGCGGUUGUUUAAGUUUGGUGUGAAAUCUCCCGGCUCAACUGGGAGGGUGCGCCGAAUACUGAAUGACUAGAGUGCGGGAGAGGAGAGUGGAAUUCCUGGUGUAGCGGUGAAAUGCGUAGAUAUCAAGAGGAACACCUGAGGUGAAGACGGGUUGCUGGGCCGACACUGACGCUGAGUGCGCGAAAGCCAGGGGAGCAAACGGG